RNAcentral lists this ribosomal RNA (269 nucleotides) under uncultured soil bacterium. Its description in RNAcentral is "partial 16S ribosomal RNA". It matches the Rfam family "Bacterial small subunit ribosomal RNA", at positions 26 to 323 of the family's 1533-position model. The record is from RNAcentral.
AGAACGAACGCUGGCGGCAUGCCUAAUACAUGCAAGUCGAACGAAUACUUCGGUGUUAGUGGCGCACGGGUGCGUAACGCGUGGGAAUCUGCCCUUGGGUUCGGAAUAACAGUUGGAAACGACUGCUAAUACCGGAUGAUAUCGAAAGAUCAAAGAUUUAUCGCCCAGGGAUGAGCCCGCGUAGGAUUAGCUAGUUGGUGAGGUAAAGGCUCACCAAGGCGACGAUCCUUAGCUGGUCUGAGAGGAUGAUCAGCCACACUGGGACUGAG